UCUUCAUUUCCCACACUCUCUCGCCUCUCUGACCGGUGAGAGAGUGUGGGAAAUGAAGAGA
RNAcentral lists this microRNA precursor (61 nucleotides) under Pristionchus pacificus. Its description in RNAcentral is "mir-8364 microRNA precursor family". It matches the Rfam family "mir-8364 microRNA precursor family". Lineage: Eukaryota; Metazoa; Nematoda; Chromadorea; Rhabditida; Neodiplogasteridae. The record is from Rfam by way of RNAcentral.